Long non-coding RNA from Macrobrachium nipponense, 940 nucleotides. RefSeq lists it as uncharacterized. Lineage: Eukaryota; Metazoa; Arthropoda; Malacostraca; Decapoda; Palaemonidae. The record is from RefSeq and is a predicted model, not a curated record. The transcript has 2 exons.
ACCUUUGGCUGUGACAUACAUCGUUCUGGGUCGUAGGCGGUUAACGGGAGUUUGCCAAGUGAUCCUUAUUGUUCAUCCGGAGCGGCGUAUUCAAUUCUUCCACCAUUUAUCGCAGCGGAAUUGCUUCUGUUGGGAAGUCUUUACGGAAAACCCCUUUAUCGAGCAACUUAACUACAGUUGGCGCUUGAGAGUUAAUUUAGUUUGUUGUCACGUCGUAGUCAAGUUAUAAUCAACCCGGACUUCUGCAAGAAUGCAGAGAUGAAUCAAGAAAAUUAUGGUUACGUGAAGUUAAGAUGUGCAGAGCGCGCGUUCAGACUAUGGCUGAGGAGGACCCAUUGGAAUUAGUAUCUUCAAGAAGACUUUUUCAGAACUGAUGUGAAAGAAAGGAAACGGCGAAUUGUCAUCGAUUAUAGAAAAACCAAAGCCUUAUCACAAGAGACCGCGAGAAUUGUGACUGCGACAGAAUGUUCUUGUCUACAAGAUGAAGUGUUGGCUGACUGCCAGCAACAUAGUUUAGCACAGAGGAUUUGUUGGUGGCGACCGCAGAAGUGGUGAUCCCCUAUUCAAUCAAGGCAUUGUUUUGAUAUCUUACUAUACUGCAAAAUUGAAUCUGGAGCAAUAUUUGUAGUACGAUAAUUGCGUAGAGGAUUAGGAAAGAAGGCUAAUUUUAGCCUUGUCAACAGGGCUGAUGGCACAUUUAGUUUGUCCAUCUGUGUAUUACAAUUGAUAUAAAUUCAGCAUUCAAAUAGGUGAUUUUAAUGUGCCUCGUGGUGCGGAAAACUAAAACUGAUGUAGAAUGAGGAGCGCAAAAAGAGUGCAACAAAUCUGUCAACUUUGCUUCAAAAGUAUGAUUGCCAUGAGUGUUAUUGCCAGAUAACGUCUUUCUUAAAAGCUGUGGCCAAUAAUCUGUACUAAGUAUUAGUAAAUUUUUUUAUAUUCA